UUGUCUUGUUUAUUACUAGUAUACUAGUAUAUUAUUAUUAUUGCAUGGCCGGUCGGCCUUCAUACGUAACGUACAUAUUUACCCAUGCCGACUUUCUUUGACUUUUCUUGUAGAGUAGCUUUCUUGACUUAAGCCCAUCCAUUCAUGCACGUAACAAAUGUGCUGAUGCCCGCCGUGCUAAACCACAACACCUAGUAUCCAACACAAAACCCCAAUUAGCAUGCAUCAAAACAGAAUUCAGAACAAAAACAUCAUCUCCCAAUCAUGCAUGCGACUGAUCGGCAUAACCAUGAUAGCAAAAUGACAUCUGGUACAUAUGCAACCAAUUACCAGCGCAAGUGCCAGGAUUCCCAUCUCCUGUGAGCCAUUCCUUUUGUUCCCGCAAAUCAGAUCCCCGGCCAAACCAUGCCGUCAGAUCACCUCGCCAAAUCAGUCACGGAGAAAGCAACAUCAGUGGCCCAGAGAUCGCCAUGGGAGCCUGGCGCGCGGUCCUCCGUCCUACGCUGCUGCGAUGCAUGCACAUGCGAUCUCAUCCUUUCCUCCCCAGCUUUGCGCAACAACACGAAAAUUCAAAAGGUGAGCGAGCGAAACGAUUGAAUGGUGCCUGUCAGCGAGCAUAGGCCACCAACGGUGGAUUCACCACCACUGCCCCCAUGACGGAGCUGGAGAUAUUCUUGCUCUCA
This 683-nucleotide long non-coding RNA is filed under the name Hordeum vulgare. RNAcentral's name for it is "long non-coding RNA (HVUL_LNC010038)". The record is from RNAcentral. Lineage: Eukaryota; Viridiplantae; Streptophyta; Magnoliopsida; Poales; Poaceae.